Molecule: ribosomal RNA, 261 nt
Filed under: Klebsiella pneumoniae
Lineage: Bacteria; Pseudomonadati; Pseudomonadota; Gammaproteobacteria; Enterobacterales; Enterobacteriaceae
Description: partial 23S ribosomal RNA
Rfam family: Bacterial large subunit ribosomal RNA
Source: RNAcentral
UGUGAACUCGAAGAGUAGGGCGGGACACGUGGUAUCCUGUCUGAAUAUGGGGGGACCAUCCUCCAAGGCUAAAUACUCCUGACUGACCGAUAGUGAACCAGUACCGUGAGGGAAAGGCGAAAAGAACCCCGGCGAGGGGAGUGAAAAAGAACCUGAAACCGUGUACGUACAAGCAGUGGGAGCACCUUCGGGUGUGACUGCGUACCUUUUGUAUAAUGGGUCAGCGACUUAUAUUCUGUAGCAAGGUUAACCGUAUAGGGG